RNAcentral lists this unclassified non-coding RNA (632 nucleotides) under Hevea brasiliensis (rubber tree). Lineage: Eukaryota; Viridiplantae; Streptophyta; Magnoliopsida; Malpighiales; Euphorbiaceae. The record is from RNAcentral.
AAACAGAAUAAUUGUAGUAAAAUUGACAUGGAACAGUAAAAUUACCCUCUAAUCACCCACCCAAACCCCCAACUCCUCCCCCUUAAAACCCUACGCUCUUUGCCUCUUCACCUGUUGGGAUAAAAAAAUGAUGGGAUAAAAACUCUAAAAAUGGGUCAAGUAACUAGUAAGGAUCAAAACAUUAAUAAGAGUUUUCAGAGAGUGUUCUAUAGUAUACAAAUUUGAGUUACUCUGUCUUGGGUUGUUAAGGUUUUCUAUAGGUUUUAUAUCAAGUAGACACACAUGAUGUAGAAACCAAAAUCACAAAGUAAUUAAAUUAAUGCAUUGGUGCAAUUUGCAGGAGUUUUUCCUAUUGGGACAGAGACUUUCCUUGGGGAGCAAUAAUGUCAGGCACUGCAGAAGUCGAGUUUGUAACUAUGCCUGUAAACAUAGAGCCAUUAUACUUGCGAACAAAGGCCAUAUUGCUGGAUUCAGCAGUUCCGACGCUUAAUGAAUCUGGAGAUGAAGCUGAGUCGAAGAAGGAAUUCAGAGGGGAAGAAACAUGUGAUAGGUGAUUGUAUGAUGUUUAAGAGCUUUGACUCAGUGGGGCUGCUUUUUAGACACUUGCAGAGGGCUUUCCUGUUGGAAAAUAA